Molecule: ribosomal RNA, 253 nt
Filed under: uncultured bacterium
Lineage: Bacteria
Description: partial 16S ribosomal RNA
Rfam family: Bacterial small subunit ribosomal RNA
Source: RNAcentral
UACAGAGGUCUCAAGCGUUGUUCGGAUUCAUUGGGCGUAAAGGGUGUGUAGGUGGCGCCGUAAGUCGGGUGUGAAAUUUCGGAGCUUAACUCCGAAACUGCAUUCGAUACUGCGGUGCUUGAGGACUGGAGGGGAGACUGGAAUUCAUGGUGUAGCAGUGAAAUGCGUAGAUAUCAAGCGGAACACCGGUGGCGAAGGCGGCCUUCUGGACAGUGACUGACGCUGAGACGCGAAAGCGUGGGGAGCAAACAGG